Molecule: ribosomal RNA, 254 nt
Filed under: uncultured bacterium
Lineage: Bacteria
Description: partial 16S ribosomal RNA
Rfam family: Bacterial small subunit ribosomal RNA
Source: RNAcentral
UACGAAGGGGGCUAGCGUUGCUCGGAAUCACUGGGCGUAAAGCGCACGUAGGUGGGUCGUUAAGUCAGGGGUGAAAUCCCGGAGCUCAACUCCGGAACUGCCUUUGAUACUGGCGAUCUUCGAGUUCGGGAGAGGUGAGUGGAACUGCGAGUGUAGAGGUGAAAUUCGUAGAUAUUCGCAAGAACACCAGUGGCGAAGGCGGCUCACUGGCCCGAUACUGACACUGAGGUGCGAAAGCGUGGGGAGCAAACAGG